RNAcentral lists this ribosomal RNA (258 nucleotides) under uncultured bacterium. RNAcentral describes it as "partial 16S ribosomal RNA". It matches the Rfam family "Bacterial small subunit ribosomal RNA", at positions 97 to 353 of the family's 1533-position model. The record is from RNAcentral.
GGCGGACGGGUGAGUAACGCGUAGGCAACCUGCCUUAUGCAGAGGGAUAGCCAUUGGAAACGAUGAUUAAAACCUCAUAACGCCGGAGAGUCACAUGGUUUUCCGGCCAAAGAUUUAUCGGCAUAAGAUGGGCCUGCGUCUGAUUAGUUAGUUGGUGGGGUAACGGCCUACCAAGGCGACGAUCAGUAGCCGACCUGAGAGGGUGAUCGGCCACAUUGGAACUGAGACACGGUCCAAACUCCUACGGGAGGCAGCAUG